Molecule: unclassified non-coding RNA, 332 nt
Filed under: soil metagenome
Description: partial contains 5.8S ribosomal RNA, internal transcribed spacer 2, and large subunit ribosomal RNA
Rfam family: 5.8S ribosomal RNA (bases 1-120)
Source: RNAcentral
GAUGAAGAACGCAGCGAAAUGCGAUAAGUAGUGUGAAUUGCAGAAUUCAGUGAAUCAUAGAAUCUUUGAACGCACAUUGCGCCCUUUGGUAUUCCUUAGGGCAUGCCUGUUCGAGCGUCAUUUAAACCUUCAAGCUCAGCUUGGUGUUGGGUGACUGUCCGCUUCACCGCGGACUCGCCUCAAAAUUAUUGGCGGCCGGUACAUUGGCUUCGAGCGCAGCAGAAACGCGAACUCGGGCCCGUCGUAUUGGCUCCCAGAAGCUAUCUUCACAAUUUUGACCUCGGAUCAGGUAGGGAUACCCGCUGAACUUAAGCAUAUCAAUAAGCGGAGGA